GUAUGGGCGCAGGCCUGAACCAGCCAGUAGCGUGAAGGAUGACUGCCCUAUCNGGUUGUAAACUUCUUUUAUAAAGGAAUAAAGUCGGGUAUGUAUACCCGUUUGCAUGUACUUUAUGAAUAAGGAUCGGCUAACUCCGUGCCAGCAGCCGCGGUAAUACGGAGGAUCCGAGCGUUAUCCGGAUUUAUUGGGUUUAAAGGGUGCGUAGGCGGCCUUUUAAGUCAGCGGUGAAAGUCUGUGGCUCAACCAUAGAAUUGCCGUUGAAACUGGGGGGCUUGAGUAUGUUUGAGGCAGGCGGAAUGCGUGGUGUAGCGGUGAAAUGCAUAGAUAUCACGCAGAACCCCGAUUGCGAAGGCAGCCUGCCAAGCCAUUACUGACGCUGAUGCACGAAAGCGUGGGGAUCAAACAGGAUUAGAUACCCUGGUAGUCCAAGGGCGAAUUC
Molecule: ribosomal RNA, 442 nt
Filed under: uncultured bacterium
Lineage: Bacteria
Description: SSU rRNA
Rfam family: Bacterial small subunit ribosomal RNA
Source: RNAcentral